Molecule: long non-coding RNA, 873 nt
Organism: Triticum aestivum (bread wheat)
Lineage: Eukaryota; Viridiplantae; Streptophyta; Magnoliopsida; Poales; Poaceae
Exons: 2
Source: RefSeq, a predicted model, not a curated record
UUAGCCACUUGUUACCUGAAUCACGAAUCAUGCACACCCGCAUCCCUAACCCUUGGAAAAUCCCCAAUCUCACACUUCUGCCGGCGGCGGCUUUGCGGCGACUAUGGCAGGGCCGUGAACCCCUUGAGCGAAGAGGAUGGAGGAGGUGGGCGGCGUCGGCGAGCGCAAUGUAUAGGAGGUGCGGGACCGCUGCAGUCGGGCCUCCCAGGCAGAGAUGGCCGGCACCGGCGAGCCAUCGUACAAAAUUUCGUCGGAUGUGUAGUACAACCCCAAAAAAAUCCCCGCUGGUGCUCAAUCCCUCCUCUAUUUCUCUCACUCUCGGUGGUUCCUGUAGAUGAAUGGGGAAAUAUUCCUUUUAUAGGAUGAAGAGCUCCAGGAUUUUGAUUUUGGGCUGCGUCAGUGCCAAUUUGAUCUGAAUUUAAAUGGAGUGGAGCAAUUGGUGGAUAAGUGCAUCUGCCUGCUAGAACCAGCUCGCCGUGUGUGCAGUGAGGGGUUUGACAGUAGUUGAAGAUUUGGGGGGUGUCAAUAUGAGGAUUUCAGGGCUUGUCAGUUUGUUGAGUGGGUGGACAAACCAUGGGAGGAGAGGGCAAGAACAGCUAUUGGUGAGCCGGCUAGCAAGAAUUUGAUCCUGGAGAAUUUAAUCAAGAAGGAGUCCAAGAAGGUUGAUGAGAAGGAGAGGCACGGACUGGAGAAGAAGCUAAUAAGUAGGAUGUACAAAGAGAGGCUGAACUAUAGAGAUAGAUGUUAAUGUUUGUUGUGAGAUCUUUCAGAGAAUGUUAAGUGCGUGGUCUUUUUCUUUAAUGAGAAUGAAGCUUGAAUAAUUUGUUGUUGGCCAUUUCUCUCAUAUUACAGAGUAAAAAGCAUAUAUAAGCA